RNAcentral lists this transfer RNA (100 nucleotides) under Madurella mycetomatis. It matches the Rfam family "tRNA". From Rfam's summary of the family: Transfer RNA (tRNA) molecules are approximately 80 nucleotides in length. Lineage: Eukaryota; Fungi; Ascomycota; Sordariomycetes; Sordariales. The record is from Rfam by way of RNAcentral.
GGCGGAAUGGCCGAGUGGUUAAGGCGGAGGAUUUAAGUAUUUUCCUACCUAAAUCUCCUCUUCUCGAGAGAGAGCGUGGGUUCGAACCCCACUUCCGUCA